RNAcentral lists this ribosomal RNA (440 nucleotides) under uncultured bacterium. Its description in RNAcentral is "partial 16S ribosomal RNA". It matches the Rfam family "Bacterial small subunit ribosomal RNA", at positions 338 to 795 of the family's 1533-position model. The record is from RNAcentral.
CCUACGGGAGGCUGCAGUGGGGAAUAUUGCACAAUGGGGGAAACCCUGAUGCAGCGACGCCGCGUGAGUGAAGAAGUAUUUCGGUAUGUAAAGCUCUAUCAGCAGGGAAGAAAAUGACGGUACCUGACUAAGAAGCCCCGGCUAACUACGUGCCAGCAGCCGCGGUAAUACGUAGGGGGCAAGCGUUAUCCGGAUUUACUGGGUGUAAAGGGAGCGUAGACGGCCAGACAAGUCAGAAGUGAAAGCCCAGGGCUCAACCCUGGGACUGCUUUUGAAACUGCCGGGCUGGAGUGCAGGAGAGGUAAGCGGAAUUCCUAGUGUAGCGGUGAAAUGCGUAGAUAUCAGGAGGAAUACCGUUAGCGAAGGCGGCAAUCUGGCUGGAAACUGACGCUGAGGUGCGAAAGCGUGGGUAGCAAACAGGAUUAGAUACCCUGGUAGUC